UAUCUAAUUAAUAAAUUUUUAAUUUAAAUAUAAUAUUAAAAAAUAUACAAUAAUUUAGAAACCAAAUGGAACAUCAUCCUUUUUUGUUAUUAUCACUUUCGAGUUUGACAAAAGAAAAGAUUAUUUUGCCAUGGCGGGCCUGGCUGCCUGCCCGAAGGUCCCCACGAGGAUAUCAUUGAGAGAGAAGGUUGUCAAUAUCACGAUAAAAAAUCGAGGUCCCUACGUCUUUUUUGGCAACCCUAAAUCUAUCCCUACCCCCUCCUCCGCUAAAGACCUUAGCCUUCGCCAGUUUCUCACCGGUGGUGGGCGUUGAGAUUUUGGUUAAUUACAUCACCGAUUUUGUAAGCAUCCUUCUCCAAAGUCAGAACAUCCAUCUGAUCUCUCUUUGAGUUUGUGAUGAGACUGUAUAGCUUGCGAGCCAUCCUGAAUGGACACCGUGAUGUUGAUAUUCAGCAUCAAGGCAGUUUUGUUACGCAAUUGUUAACCUCUCUAAGUGUGAAUUCUUUGACAAAAAUUGACCGCAUGGAUUUGUUUGCUUUCAUAAAAUCGAAAGAUAAUUUGAGUUUGGAUUAGUAUUCUCUGCCCAACACCUUCGACCCCCUAACUUCAGCUGGAUUCUAGGCCUUGUAUGCCUAAGUUUCCUAACAAUGCAGCUAAUAUGUAGCCUAUGGGUCAAAUUCAAGCCUUUGUUUUCUCACCCUUCCCUAUCAAGAAAAAUCCAAUAUUAGACUAAGAAAUCAUGAUUUCUCUUGAAGGAAAGAGUGAU
This 766-nucleotide long non-coding RNA is filed under the name Durio zibethinus. RNAcentral describes it as "long non-coding RNA (DZIB_LNC002462)". Lineage: Eukaryota; Viridiplantae; Streptophyta; Magnoliopsida; Malvales; Malvaceae. The record is from RNAcentral.